GGUGCAAAUGAUGUGUUUGUUAGUGACCAAAGCCUGACUUAAGUGAUUAGUCUUAACUGACUGACUGCACC
Molecule: small nucleolar RNA, 71 nt
Organism: Capra hircus (goat)
Lineage: Eukaryota; Metazoa; Chordata; Mammalia; Artiodactyla; Bovidae
Source: Ensembl